Non-coding RNA from Delphinapterus leucas (beluga whale), 4464 nucleotides. The record is from RefSeq and is a predicted model, not a curated record. NCBI's taxonomy places the organism in Eukaryota, Metazoa, Chordata, Mammalia, Artiodactyla, Monodontidae.
UCGCACCGUCGCGACUUCGCUGUGCGUGCGGUAGCCGCCGGACGGCAGCCAUGGCGGCCUUGCGACCCCCGAGGAGGUUCCUCCUUCCUCUCUGCCGCGCCUUCUCCGGCGGCAGCUGCCAGCUCGUCCCCGAGCGCGGCGGUGAGCGCAGGGAUGCCGCGCCGAGCCGGGUCUCAAGAUUCUGCCCUCCAAGAAAAUCUUGCCAUGAUUGGAUAGGACCCCCAGAUAAAUAUUCAAACCUUCGACCUGUUCACUUCUACAUCCCUGAAAAUGAAUCACCAUUGGAACAAAAGUUAAGAGAAUUAAGACAAGAAACACAAGAAUGGAACCAACAGUUCUGGGCAAACCAGAAUUUGACUUUUCUUAAGGAAAAAGAAAAAUUUAUUGACUCAAGACUAAAAGCCAAAGGCCUGGAACUGAGAGCUGAAUCAGCUAAACCACAAACAGUUACAACCAAGACAUUUUAUCUCCCAUUUACGCACUCCCAUUGAAUCCUCCUCCAAUUGGCUGGCCGCUGAGCAGGCCCGUCCCACCUGCCGCCCUGACCGCGACUCGGUUUGUCUCAGAGCAGCCUUAUGAGGUGUGCUGUUGUGAUCUGCGUCCUGGAGCCCGGAGAAACCACAGCCCGGCCACAGGGCCGGCGAGGGACGGAAGCGCGGCCCGUGGAACCGCUGCCUGCGGGGCCAGGAGGACACAGCCCACCUGCUCAGCUCCUCUCGUCAGUGUGAGAGGCAGGGGAGGCCGGCUGGAGGGUGCACACACGCCUCUCCCUGGAGGACCGGCGGAACCUGCUUGCAGCUUAGGAGACGCCGUGCUCUGGGGCCAGCAUGCUGGCCCCGCUCCCUGAAGCGAGAGCUCUGUUUGUGGCGCCCUCAUCGCGCUCCAGCCCUGCCUGCCCCUCUCCUCCCUCACUCUGUUCAGCCAUGUCUCUGCCUCUCCACACCCUUCAUUUGCUCUGCCCAUGCUGCUCCCCUUCUCCGCCCUGUGGAAUCCUAGCUGGCUGUCACCUUCCCUGGGAGCCUUCGGCUUCCCUCCCCGCCACAGGCAGCUGGUUGUCCCUCUCUUUCCCCGAUCGGCAUCCACCCCUUGAUUGAUUCCAGGUAUUUAUUGAACACCUGCCACAUCCCAGGCUAGUCCUGGGGACCAGCUGGGGACGAGACAGAGCCACGGCCUCGCCUUUGUGGAGCAGACCUCCUUGCGUGGGCCGGGAGGGUGACCAGCAGACAAGCAGCUCGGUGAACGCACUCUGCACUCCCGGGGUGUCGACCGCGGGGGAGAAAGAAGCCGGGGGGAGGGGAGGAGCGGCGUUUUCGCAGAGUGGGGGCAUCGGGGGAGGUUGGGAGAGGGUCUUGCAGAUGGAGGUCUCGAGGGCCAGCAGGAGGCCGGGUCAGAGGAGUGAGGACACGUGGAAUCGACUGCUCUUCACUCAGGCGCUGGGGGUCCAGGUCAAAAAGCAACAUUGAAUGCAGAAGAAAUGGCUGACUUUUACAAGGAAUUUUUAAGUAAAAAUUUUCAGAAGCACAUGUAUUACAACAGGUAGAAGUUGCUAUCAGCUUAGUGUUUGCACUUUUAAAUAAAAAUGACAGCUUCAAGUUACUUGCAUGGCAGCCCUAAAGCAGCUUGCACCCCUAGUGCGUAGACAGUGGGUUCUACACAGCACUUCCCGCUGAAAGGAGCCUGGACUCCACGGAGAAGCACAGUCUGGGGCAGGAGCAGCACGAGAGGAGUCGAGACAUCUUGUGUUUGAAAGAGAGGAAGCUCGGAGCCCAGCGGGGUCGUGUGAGAACAGCACAGAAGGCGAUUCACGGGGCUCCUGUAGGCCAGAGGCGAAGCCAUUGCAGCCACACAAAGAAAAUGACGGCUGUGGAUUAAAAAUCUAUCAAAUACACUAACAUCUUUGCGAUCAUAAUGACACUGAGCGGCUCACAGGCAUCGCGGGGUAUUGCUAGGCAGCCAACCCAUUGUUCUGAAAAUCCAUUAGGGAAGGAGCGCCUCCAAAGAACAGUCACCUCUCCUGCCUUUCCUGCACCGACUGGAUUCCAGGGUAGCCAAACGAAGGAGCAUUUUUCUUGGUAGAAGAAUGACAGCUGACGCGGGAGUGCUGGAGUUAGAUCUGGGCCUCAUCACCCCGCAGCUGCUAACCGCUCGGCAGCAGGGCUGAUGGGCACUUCGUAAUGGACGGGUUGGGCUGAUCGCACGUGAACCCCUGGUUCCUCUUCGCACCGUGCGGAGUGGGGCAGCGGCCUGCCUGCACCUCUGUGAGGUGUCCUCACCAAACAAGGGGACUGCAGUCUGGCAGUCCUCCGGGUCUAAUACCAGGUUACAGGAACAAGAUAAAAGGGUGUGUUGGGGGGGUGGAGAGAGCAGGUCACAGACUGUGCUUAAAUCGUAGCCUGAAGAUACAGUCCCAGAUGUUGGAAAUUCUGAAAGACAGACGAUCCAGUUUCAACCAGUAACUAGGAUUAAAAAAAAAAAAAAAGGACAGCUUAAAGUUAUUUGCAUGGCAGCCCUAAAGCAGCUUGCACCCCUAGUGCGUAGACAGUGGGUUCUACACAGGGGGAGCUAAUAUUAUAGGAUAAAAGAGGCUUCAUGCAGUGUGUAGACAAUGUUUGGAUCCUAAUACAGACAAACCACCUAUAAAAAGGUAUUUUUGACAAUCAGUCAAAGAAAACUGAACAGUGACUGUAUAUUAGGUUGUAUAGAUAAGUUAUUGUUCACUUUAUCAGAUACAAUGAUGGUAUUGUGGUUAGGUGUUUUUAAAAAAGGUUUUGACGAUACAUAGUGAUGUGUAUUCCUAGGUGUGACGAUAGGACGUGGCGUUUGAGAUUUGCUGUGACAUUCAUAGGGCAAUGGCCACGCCGGAUGGGCGGGUGGGGCAGGGUCUAGACAGUGGGGUGAUCGUCGAGUCUGGAGGAGCUCUUGAGUGACACUCAGGCAUAAAGCCCAGUCCUGCAGCGUCCAGAGUCUGUUGCUAAUGCUGUCAUGUGUCACUCUGAACUAGCUGAGUUAUUCAGUCAAGCCAGUAUUAGUUAGAUUUCCCUGGACCUUUGAUUUCUGGCGUGGACACGGCAUGUUUGCAUCUUGCUUCCUCUCCGGUGAGCUUGAUGUUUUCCGUGUGGCACUCAGAGUAGAGAGAGGGUCGGACAGCAGUGGAGCCUGCGCGCUCCCCCUCUGUGCCCGCACCACCUCCUGCCCCUGCUUUCCUUAUGGAAGCGGGAACAGCUUAGUUUAUCUUUUCCACUCUCCCAGUUCAGGUUGUCUGUAUCGGUGGAGUGGAAUCUGACUUUUCCCUAGUAACCUAAGAACUUUAAUCUCGGUGGGAUACCAGUUUUCUUUUUUCUGGAAGCCUUUUUUAUUUAUUUAGGGCAUUGCUUCCCAUUUAUAGCAUCAUUGAAGUGGAUAGAAAUGUAAGAUCGUCCUCGUGUGGAGAGGGGUUUUCUGUCCAGCUGUGCAAAGGCUCCAGGAAACGGGCAUUUUUGCCUCUUGCUACUGCUUCACUCAAGCCCUUGGUUAUUCUCCAUUCUUCUAUGCUGAGAUCCAGUCAACCAUUUGAGUCCAGUCUGGAAUAGCAGUUCCAUGUUCCCUCAUUAGCUCAUUUGGACGAAAAGCACUGAUACUUGCUGGCAUUUCAGCUUCCAGGGGCUCAGCACUGAGAGUCUGGAAUGUGUGCUUUCCAUUGUGGAAACUUGCCAAGUUUUGCCCAUUCAGCUGCUGACAAUGUGAAUUUGCAAGUUCUGACAUGUUCUGUAGAGUAAUUCACAGGCAAGUGAGCCUAUGACAGCAUGUAACUCCAUCCCAGUAUUUGUAUGAGAAGUUCUGGAAUAUCCCUUUCGAGACACAAGUUACCCAGAAGUUCAGAUCAUCAAGAAAAAGAAGAUACGAAACUUGAUGAUGUUGGCACUUGCGAUAAGUUAGCUUCUCAAGAUGGAGUACUUUUGUCAUGUGCUUCUUAUGCAAUUAAGGUGCCAAAGCCUGGAGGGUCCCCACUGAGUUCUUGCAGAGCCUCCAGUCCUUUUCUGAGAGGUUGCGCCCCCAUCGCUCUACAGUUGUGUCUCCGAGAGAAUGCCGCUGGGCUCUGGGGGCCCCCAGGCUUCCGAGAGCUCUUUCUGUGUCUUCUAGCAAAAACUGAGGAAGGCUGCAGCAGCUUCCAGGAGUGGGAAAAGCGGGGUCGGGGUGCCCUGGGCACAUCAGCCUGAUGAAAAUCCAGGUGGAAGGCAGGCAGGCUUUUAUGGGCAGUCUAGCUUUAAAGAGGGCGGGGAAUGGCAGAGAUGGUGGGGAAGGGUGGAAGAGGAGACAGUCGGAUGCCUGAGCGUGGGUCACGUGUGCUUGUGCUGUUCUUCUUCAGGGACUGGUACAAGCGUAAUUUUGCCAUCACCUUCUUCAUGGGAAAAGUGGCCCUGGAGAGGAUUUGGAACAAGCUUAGACUGAAACGAAAGAAGACCAGCAAUUAGGAGCCCACCCUGA